Molecule: ribosomal RNA, 217 nt
Filed under: Escherichia coli
Lineage: Bacteria; Pseudomonadati; Pseudomonadota; Gammaproteobacteria; Enterobacterales; Enterobacteriaceae
Description: partial 16S ribosomal RNA
Rfam family: Bacterial small subunit ribosomal RNA
Source: RNAcentral
AAAUUGAAGAGUUUGAUCAUGGCUCAGAUUGAACGCUGGCGGCAGGCCUAACACAUGCAAGUCGAACGGUAACAGGAAGCAGCUUGCUGCUUCGCUGACGAGUGGCGGACGGGUGAGUAAUGUCUGGGAAACUGCCUGAUGGAGGGGGAUAACUACUGGAAACGGUAGCUAAUACCGCAUAACGUCGCAAGACCAAAGAGGGGGACAUUCGGGCCUC